Long non-coding RNA from Conger conger (European conger), 1569 nucleotides. RefSeq lists it as uncharacterized. The record is from RefSeq and is a predicted model, not a curated record. NCBI's taxonomy places the organism in Eukaryota, Metazoa, Chordata, Actinopteri, Anguilliformes, Congridae. The transcript is spliced from 2 exons.
UUGAAGAAAUUCGGUUAGAGACCAAACCCGACGACAAAUCUCCCGGUUUCGAACGCGCCAUAGCAACUGCGCAUCCCCUGGACUACAAGUGACGUCAUCAAAGGGGGCCAAACAGACUCUUCGCAUAAGCAUAAGGAGGUAGACCAUUGAAUGAGGUGGAAACAUAAGGGAGUGGGAAAAGCAUGGCCCACUCUUCAGGCAGCGAAAGCAGAAUCGAGUACUGCAAUGUGGGCACACAAUAUUUGGGCAGCCCCAACCAGUAUGAGUCAGAAGGGCUUUGCAGCGAGGACAGGCCCGAAAGAAGGGACAUCUGAACACUGAGCUGGUAUUGGCAGUGAUGGUCUGAUUCGACAUGAGAGCAGCUCGGACUGCGCACCCAGGAAGAGUGCAGGAGCUGCCCCCGGUCAUCCCCUUGGGCCACUCACGCCUGCAGGCCGAGCAGAACUGGUACACACGCCUUAGCUCUUCGGAGCAAGCGGAACACACUGAACGUUGGCUAUCAAUUUUCUUACCACUGCACUUCUGGCAACGGGGACACUAUGGACAAGAAAGGGCGGCAAAAAGACACACAUUUAUAACCAUAAGGACAUUUACACUCCAAAAAAUAUGUAAAUGUAAUAAAUGUUUUAUUUAUGUAAUAGAACAAUCUUCAAAAAAGUGCAGUAUCCCAUUUGGUUCUUAGAAAAUGGAUGUAGGUUCUUAGGAGGCAGCCUAAAUAAAAAUAUCUGAAUAGCUACUUCAGCUAGUACAGCACAUCUGAUGACCUUGUGUAGCCACUUAAACUACCUCACUUAGUCCUGCUAAAUGUUGUAAUUGGGUUCUUAAUUCUGUAUUGGUGUAACAGGAAUUAUAGGAAGGUGGUUACCUGUAACAUUGAGCCACUCAUAAUCCCAGACACGGCUGAGGUGGGAAUUCAGAAAUAUGUUUGGUAAUUUACUGAAAGGAAAAAUAGUGGUUUAGAUAGGGUAAUUAUAAUUGCCUAGAGGCAACGCAAAACACCCCUUGAUAUUUUGUUUAUCUGAUAUUGAUUUUGCAGUGAUGCUGUUAAUAUUGAAGAGUCUAACAUAAGUAGGCUAACAUAGGCAGUCACAACUAAUAGACAUGUAGUUGAGAGAAGUAAAAAUACCAACCAUUUUGCCCUGCCCAUUUUGAAAGCAUAUGAAUUCAGCAAAACUUUAAAAAAAUUAUUGGCAAGACAGGUACUAGAUAAGGCACAGCCUGUGAAUAGUUGCCUAUGUCUUACUCAGUCGUAAUCAACCAAGGUAAAAUUAAAGGAAGCAGCAGUAGCUUUGAUGAGCAGGUGGCUUCUGACUACUAACUUAACCUGCUUUUAGUGCUUUUAUUUAACAGUUGGCUGAUUUCUGAUGGAUCCCAAAAGGGAUGUGUAGACAAAAUCAUUUCCAUACCUUAUUUUCUCCUCUUGCUAACAGGUGAACCGUUGACAACCUUCAGUGUUGCUCGCUCAAUGCAAAAGUGAAAGCAAGUAUAUUUGUUUCCUCAAUCACUUUGCUUUCACUUUCUCUCAACUUAUUUUUAGCCCCACAAAAUAAAUCCUUCCCUGACCUAAAA